AUUGAACGCUGGCGGCAUGCCUUACACAUGCAAGUCGAACGGCAGCACGGGUGCUUGCCCCUGGUGGCGAGUGGCGAACGGGUGAGUAAUACAUCGGAACAUGUCCUGUAGUGGGGGAUAGCCCGGCGAAAGCCGGAUUAAUACCGCAUACGAUCUACGGAUGAAAGCGGGGGACCUUCGGGCCUCGCGCUAUGGGGUUGGCCGAUGGCUGAUUGGCUAGUUGGUGGGGUAAAGGCCUACCAAGGCGACGAUCAGUAGCUGGUCUGAGAGGACGACCAGCCACACUGGGACUGAGAAACGGCCCAGACUCCUACGGGAGGCAGCAGUGGGGAAUUUUGGACAAUGGGCGAAAGCCUGAUCCAGCAAUGCCGCGGGUGUGAAGAAGGCCUUCGGGUUGUAAAGCACUUUUGUCCGGAAAGAAAUCCUUGGCCCUAAUACGGUCGGGGGAUGACGGUACCGGAAGAAUAAGCACCGGCUAACUACGUG
Molecule: ribosomal RNA, 486 nt
Filed under: uncultured bacterium
Lineage: Bacteria
Description: partial 16S ribosomal RNA
Rfam family: Bacterial small subunit ribosomal RNA
Source: RNAcentral